AGAGUUUGAUCCUGGCUCAGGGCGAACGCUGGCGGCGUGCCUAAUACAUGCAAGUCGAGCGAAUCUUGAGGAGCUUGCUCCUUGAGGUUAGCGGAGGACGGGUGAGUAACACGUGGGCAACCUGCCUGUAAGACUGGGAUAACACCGGGAAACCGGUGCUAAUACCGGAUAACUCUUCACCUCUCAUGAGGUGAAGCUGAAAGUCGGUUUCGGCUGACACUUACAGAUGGGCCCGCGGCGCAUUAGCUAGUUGGUGAGGUAACGGCUCACCAAGGCGACGAUGCGUAGCCGACCUGAGAGAGUGAUCGGCCACACUGGGACUGAGACACGGCCCAGACUCCUACGGGAGGCAGCAGUAGGGAAUCUUCCGCAAUGGACGAAAGUCUGACGGAGCAACGCCGCGUGAGUGAUGAUGGCCUUCGGGUCGUAAAACUCUGUUGUUAGGGAAGAACAAGUACCGGAGUAACUGCCGGUACCUUGACGGUACCUAACCAGAAAGCCACGGCUAACUACGUGCCAGCAGCCGCGGUAAUACGUAGGUGGCAAGCGUUGUCCGGAAUUAUUGGGCGUAAAGCGCGCGCAGGCGGUCCUUUAAGUCUGAUGUGAAAGCCCACGGCUCAACCGUGGAGGGUCAUUGGAAACUGGGGGACUUGAGUGCAGAAGAGGAAAGCGGAAUUCCACGUGUAGCGGUGAAAUGCGUAGAGAUGUGGAGGAACACCAGUGGCGAAGGCGGCUUUCUGGUCUGUAA
Molecule: ribosomal RNA, 748 nt
Filed under: uncultured soil bacterium
Lineage: Bacteria
Description: bacterial SSU rRNA
Rfam family: Bacterial small subunit ribosomal RNA
Source: RNAcentral